Molecule: long non-coding RNA, 2846 nt
Filed under: Equus caballus (horse)
Lineage: Eukaryota; Metazoa; Chordata; Mammalia; Perissodactyla; Equidae
Description: lncRNA (ENSECAG00000059037.1)
Source: RNAcentral
AGGGUGACCUCUUCUUGGAAUGGCUCUGCACCACCCCCCAGAUCCCUCCGCUGCCCAGUUCUGAGCCCCAGGAGGCUGACCUCUGCAGAAUGUAUUACCCUGGUGCCCUGUCUGGUGGAUUUCUGGUUAAAUUCAGCCAACCUGCGAGACUGGUGGGAGAUUGGAGGGCAGGAAGAAAGAGAAAGAGUGGUUUAUAAAAUAAUGGUAUGUCUUUCAGUCAUUGACAUCCUAGAUUUGCGAAAUGUGACCAUAGGCCUUCCUUCACCCCCUACCUCCAUAUAAAAAAAGGCCCAUUUGAGACGUUCAGCUUUGAAGAGAAAAGGUUGUGUCCGGCAACUCCACCUCCAAUCAAUCAUUAGGACUUACUCCACACCCAGCACUGUUCUAGGAGCUGGCACUAGUGACCUAAUUCUUGAACUCAAUCAAUGUGCAGCUUCUUGGUCAGGUGCAAACAAUGCAAGAAGCUCAGGCGGAGGGGUGAGCUCUGGAGCAGGAACCUGGAGAGCAGGGUUCUAGGCUGAACUCUGCCCCAGGCAAGUCACUGUGCUUCUCAGGGCCUCAUCUGUAAAAUGAGGCAUUUAAACUAAACCUCUGAGGUCCCUUAUUACUUUUCUUCAUCCAUGGAAAUAAUUAACAAAAUAUAAUCAAAGUGAGGCAUUAAAGAAUGUAGCAGAGACAGUGCUUGUGUGCCUACCAAGUGGGUUCCUUUUCCUGCUGGCCAGGUAGCUCAGCCACAUGUCCUGGUGUCCCCAGUAGGUAAAUAGGGCCAGGUGACUGAUUCCUGGCGAAGGGAACAUGCUCAGAAACUUGGUGUGCUCCUCUCGGACCUGGCCCCUGAAACAUGCCGGUGAGAUCCUAGACUCUCCUUGCCCUUCCGUGGUGCCCUCAGAGGCCACAGACUGAAGAUGGCUCUGCCAUGAUGGAAAGUGCUUCAUUCCUGGGUCGUCUUCUGGGAAGAUGCUGCCCAACCUACGUGGACUGUGAUGUGAGCAAGAAUCACAUUACCAGCGUUUUAAGCUGCUCAGAUUUUGUUUUGUUUGUUUGAAUAAUUAGCCUACCCUGAAUAAACCAAAAAGCAAAAUAAGGGUUCAACAACAAUCCCUCAGACGUAGGAAAGAUCAGAGGAGAACACAUGGACCGAGGCCCUGCAGGCACAGACAAAGGAUAAGGGAGACAGUCCAGCUCUGGCAGGAGCACAAGGAUUCAGAAUUUGGAGAUUUGGAUGUGGUUUGUUCUGAGAGUUGGAGAUGAGUAUUUAGUGUAAUAACCCACCCGCACAUUCCUUCCCCACACACAUCCACCCCCAAAGAUCUCCAUCAUCCAAUAGUAUCACCAGGAAAUAUACAAAUAACUCUGAAUGGAUCCACCAAUGUGGCAACAAAACAUGCAUUACCCAUUACCGUAAAGGAGCUGAGGCGGAGGACAGCCUGAGUGCAUUGACCGUGCAGGUGCUGACAGUUAACACUCACCUGAGAUCAAUCUUCACUAAUAAAUCAGCCAUCCCAGACCAAGAAGAGGAGGCAAAGCAGGGCUUAGACGGGGUGGGUGAAAUCCCAUCUUGCCAGGGUUCUCCCAUGAAGGAGGCAGGACCUAAGACCCCCUCUGUGCUGUCAACAGGCCGCAUUAGCACCGGGGAGGAGAAGCCACAUCCACCAAGCACUGCUGGAGGCCCCACCCCCAAAGCUGGGUUCAUCCCAGGGCCUGGAAGAGCCCCCUGGAACAUAACGAGGUUCAACAAAUACUUGCUGAGCAAUCCUGCUUGCUAACACACAUCAGUAGCUAGUGGCCCUUUGGAGGGCUAUGCUGAGAAAGAUCUGGAGCAUGGUAAUCUACGACUGAUAUCUGGCCCAGCCAUGCGGAGGCAGAGCCAGAGGGUAGUUGGCAAAGCUGCUGCCGAGUAUUGGGGUUGAAAAUGGUGCUGAGUUUGGAUUUUCCUAAUGUACUGGCCAGAGCUGUCUGCAUUUCAGAGCUGACUUCUCAUGCGGAGGAGAUGUGGAAACGUCAGGAACUUAACGCCCAGUUCUGGUUGAUGAUCACCUCCUGGGAUGGUUUGGUCAGCCACAACAAACGAGCAGAGUUUCUGGUUCUGUCACUCAAGGAAAAGAUUCCAGUGGAUGGCAGGAGGCCAAGUGACAAAGAAAGCGAAAGUCACAACGGGAAAGAUCCUCUGAGGCCGCACCGUGAAGAGGUGAGAGAGACACUGACAAUGGACCAAUUACUGCAAAAAUAUCAAAGGUGCUGGCUGUGCACCUGGCACUGAAUUUUUGAGUGACUUGCAGAAGGGAAAGGCUGGCCCAGAGUGCCUUGUCUAACGGAUGCAGGUGGUGCACGUGAGCAUCGGCUGGGCCUUUACUGAUCUAUCCUCUCCCAGGCCUGCACUGUGAGAGCCACAGGGGGAGUUCCCACAAGAUCAGAGAGAUUGGACCUCCUGGGAGAGUUCCGUCAUCCCUGGAGGCCUUCCCUUCCACGGGGGAGCUCUCUGUCCACGCAGCUGUGCCUGCAUUCCCCCACCUGCAGCGGGUUAGAGAGCCUAGGGACCCCUCCCCCACACCCCUCCGCUCAGCAAAACCAUCCAGGAAGCCUGGGAAGAAAGCCACUGCGUAAUGAAAAACGAAUGAAGGCCGUUAUACCUGAAUAAUAAUUAUUAAUUGAUGCCAGAGACAAAAUGUAGAAAUUACCGUCGUGACAUUUUUGUUGCCAAAACAAAGGAAACUGGUGGAGUCCAUAUUCCUUUUAAAUAGCAUACCUUUUAGGAUGCCCAACCAUCCUGGUUUGCCCAGGGUGUUCUGGUGCUCGCUUCUGCACAAACCAAGAUGGUUGGUGACCCUAGUUUUAGUUAACAUCAG